RNAcentral lists this ribosomal RNA (274 nucleotides) under uncultured bacterium. RNAcentral describes it as "partial 16S ribosomal RNA". It matches the Rfam family "Bacterial small subunit ribosomal RNA", at positions 523 to 796 of the family's 1533-position model. The record is from RNAcentral.
AUACGGAGGGUGCAAGCGUUACUCGGAAUCACUGGGCGUAAAGCGCAUGCAGGCGGCCAGAUAAGUUGGAAGUGAAAGCCUACGGCUCAACCGUAGAACUGCUUCCAAAACUGUCUGGCUAGAGUCUGGGAGGGGAAGAUGGAAUUAGUAGUGUAGGGGUAAAAUCCGUAGAGAUUACUAGGAAUACCAAAAGCGAAGGCGAUCUUCUGGAACAGUACUGACGCUGAGAUGCGAAAGCGUGGGGAGCAAACAGAAUUAGAUACCCUAGUAGUCC